CGCGGGGUGGAGCAGCACGGUAGCUCGUCGGGCUCAUAACCCGAAGGUCGCAGGUUCAAAUCCUGUCCCCGCA
This 73-nucleotide transfer RNA is filed under the name Bacillus cereus. RNAcentral's name for it is "tRNA-Met". It matches the Rfam family "tRNA". From Rfam's summary of the family: Transfer RNA (tRNA) molecules are approximately 80 nucleotides in length. Their secondary structure includes four short double-helical elements and three loops (D, anti-codon, and T loops). The record is from RNAcentral. Lineage: Bacteria; Bacillati; Bacillota; Bacilli; Caryophanales; Bacillaceae. RNAcentral also lists the same sequence under 7 other names.